GCGGGUAUCGUUCAGUGGCAGGACCCCACUCUUCCAAAGUGGUGACACCAGUUCGAAUCUGGUUACCCGCACCA
RNAcentral lists this transfer RNA (74 nucleotides) under bacterium. RNAcentral describes it as "tRNA-Gly". It matches the Rfam family "tRNA". From Rfam's summary of the family: Transfer RNA (tRNA) molecules are approximately 80 nucleotides in length. Their secondary structure includes four short double-helical elements and three loops (D, anti-codon, and T loops). RNAcentral also lists the same sequence under 3 other names. The record is from RNAcentral.